This 8438-nucleotide long non-coding RNA is filed under the name Theobroma cacao (cacao). RNAcentral's name for it is "long non-coding RNA (TCAC_LNC001033)". Lineage: Eukaryota; Viridiplantae; Streptophyta; Magnoliopsida; Malvales; Malvaceae. The record is from RNAcentral.
GAAGACUGAGAAUAGAAGUAUAUCGAACUCCUAGUACUGUGAGUAACCUUAUUAUCAUUUUAAUCAUCUAAAGUAUGUUUUAAUUCGAUUUUGGCGAAAUUUUAUGAAAAUGAGUUAAAUGGCAAAUUUUAGGUUUUAUAAACAAAAAUAAGUUUAAAUAAAAAGAUUUUAUAAAUUGUUUUGGAAACUGAAUGAUGAUUUUGAAAAUAAAGUAAUUGGAAACCACUGAUAUGUUGUAAAUUUUAGAUUGAAUUGAUGGCUUAUGUUAUUGUGUUGGCAUGACUAACUGGGCUGUGUUUUAUGAAUUGUAUGAAUUGUUUUAUUUUACCCUUGCAAUCUGGGUAGUAAUAAAUUAGCCUUGUCAUGCUGUCAAAAUUUUAUUGUAUGGUCGGUUUAGCUUUUUGCAGUAAGCGGGUUUUCGUGGACUAGCCUAUUAGAGGGGCACAAUAAACCCCAUUAUAUUUUACCUCGGUUGGAGAGGCGAGUAAGGUAACUCCCGAGGUAUGAUUUUAGAGUUAACUUCACGCCAAACCACCACGUGAAGGUGAGCUCGGCCAACGCCAAGGAACGACUAUAUUUUCAAAAUGAAAACAUGUUUUAUGCGUACAUUACUUUCUAAUAGCCUUGGCGAACUCAGUUGGGAUAGCCCUCGGCCAAGGUAUCCUAGAUAAUUGAGUAUGAUAACAAUUUUUGGCAUGAGCCAAGCUUUUUAAGAAAUUCAUAAGCCAUAUUGAUUACUUGAUUUAAAUAAAUUGAUUUCAUUUGGUUGAAAUAAGUUGAAAAUGAUAAAUUACAGUUUGAUGUAAUGUUUUAAUAGUCUUCUUUUACUCACCUUUAGAUAUUUUAAAUGAUAUUUGUUUACUCAAUGGAAUUUUAUAAUCUCAACCACCCUCCUUUCCACCAAUUUCAAGCAUUAAGAUAGUCGGUAAAUAGCUCAUUUCAUCGAGGACUACAAUUGGAUUGGCAUCCUCAAAAUAUGUAGGUUCAAUUCUUUUGACACUUUUAGUCAUUCGUGGGCCCACAUGUCACUGCAAAUUUAAUUUUAUACUUUGGUUAUUUAUAUUACAAUAUAUAUGAAUUUAUUUUUCUUUUUCGUUGUAAAAAUGAUUUACACAGUGUUCUAAUAAUAUUGUUUUAUGAAAAAAAUUGAAUAUUUUAUUCUAUAUCUUUAUUAUAUUUAAAUAGUUAUAAUUUCAUUUUAAAUGAAAGUUUGAGAUGUUUAAAUUUAUUUUUGAUUAUGAAUUAUGUGUUUAAUACUUGCAUACUACAUUUUUAACUGGUGUCGAAACUUUUGAGGAAAAAUGACCAAAAUGCCCUUGUGAGACAGAAAUAAUUUUUUUUUAUUGAUUUUAGUUAGAAAUAGCUUAAAUUCUUUUAGAACGUGAUAUUUGGUAACGAUUGCUCACCAGGGAAAAGAGAAACUGAUAUUAAAGCCUUGCGGGGUUCUGGUUGAUAAUCUAGGUAAUGAGUGUUGAUUGGGACAACGCAGCGGUUGUCACGGGCUCGAUGGGUGUUCCGGGUCGUGACAAUUAUAUUGGUAUCAGAGCUUUUGUUUUUAAAGAUAUGAGUUUUUGAUUUUAAAGUUAUUUAAAAACUACAGUGUCAGUGUGGCCCGAGUUAAGUUAAGUUAGGUUUGAUAGAAUAGAAUACGUGCAUCUGCACAUAGAAUUUGGAGCUAUUUUGACUCGUUUUAUUUCUUCUUAUAGAUAUUAUGGGAGCAUAAGUCAUAGACAGGGAGCUAUAUGAACUCCUGUUCUCAGUAAUCCACUUCUUUGUUAAUGUCAUGCAAAGGUCAUAAGUAGGGUUGUCGUCCGGGUUUAAGAUGCCACCCGUGACAUGAGCCAGUGUUGGAGAGAUCUUAAAACGAAUGCUCCUAAUGAAGGAUUAAUGAAAUGAUAUAUCCCUCCGAUUAAGGAUGGAGAAAUUUGGAGUUGGAUUAAUAGGCUGUGAUAAUUUAUUCAUUUGGUGGACUGUAUAAAUUAAGCAUUGAGGUAAAAGUAAACCUAUACUUAUGUGCAUGAAGAUAAGAACACUAUGCUAAUUAAGCUUGUUGUGCCCAUAUAAAGGUGGUGUUGGGAUUUUGAAAUAUUUUAUAUGUGAAUAUGUGUUGAAUUGGUACAGCAGCUUAGAGGGAACUGAUGUUGAUUUCAAUUAAGCGAUUGUGAGAUUUCAAGAAUUAAUUGGACCUAUUAUAGUUCAUGGAUAUAAGCACGUGAAUUAACUCGAGAGUGAGUAUCAAUGAUUACUAUAAUUAAUGUGUGGUCAUGAAGUAAGAAGUUAGUAAAUAAAUCUGCUCUAAGGAUGAGCUUGAACUUAUCUAUGCAUAGAAAAGAGGGAGCCAAGGGAUUAAAAGACUAAAUGUGGAAUUCGCAGCUUGAGGUUAAAUGACUUAGAAAUGUCGAAUCUAUUCUAAGUGCCAUAUGAAGUUCUAUAAUUGAGACUGAUUACGAAUUACUUGAAAAAUCAAUUUAAAAGUUUAUUCAGUUCAAAGUGUGGCCUAUGAUACGAAUGAUCAGUCUUGAAGGUGAUCUCCCUAGAGUAAGGAAUUUAGAAAAUGUUGAUACUUGGAUAUACUCUAAGAGAGAGAACUUCUGCAUCCUAAGUUUGAGACAACUUUGAUCUUAUGAUCGCAAAGGCAAGGUGUAAUAACUAAGUAAAUUUUUCGCUUAACAAAUGUGAUUGGUUAUUGAGGGAUACAGUCAAGAUCUUAACAUUUAGUGGUGUACAAUUUCAUAAUUAUGUAUUUAAGAGCUAUUUGGAGACAAUUCCUUCAUCAAAUUUGCACUAAAUGCUAUGGUAAAGGCAUAUCAAUGUUAAUAUGAAAAUGUAUCCAGGAAUGAUCUUAACACAUCACCAAAGGAGAAUUAAACAUGUUGAAAUUAAUGUUCUAAUAGUGUGCAUAUGAUCGAAAUCUAGUUUGAAAGUUGUAGUUUUCAUGAUCAUGAAAUAUAUAAAGAUUAUCAAUAUAUGGAUAUACACUUGGAGUUGUAAUUUACGAGUUUGGAGUAUUUAAGAUAUGAUUAAAUGGAAUUGGCAUUAGUUAAGGUACGUAAAUCUUCUAAUUAAAUUCUAUGGAGUAUGCAUGAUAGUAGAAUGAAGGAAUAUAGUGUCGUGAUACUAUAUGGUGAAGUUACUAUACAAUAUGGAAAGAGUGUUCUAAAGUGAGAUUUAUUGACUGAUGAUAAAGGAUGUGCAAUCUGAGAUACAUGUAGCUAUGAAUAAAUUUGGAGAUUUUUACUUAAGCAAAUUCGUACUAAAUGAUAUGGUAAAGAUAUAUGAAUGGUAACGGUAAAAUAAAUACGUUAAAUCAAUGUUCUGAUCGCCCACUUGUGAUAGAAAGUUAGUAUUGCUAAUUGUGGUAUAGACUCAGAGGGAAGCCACACGAGUAUGAAUAAUUGAGGUAGUAGUUUUAAAGGUGGAAUAGUUGCUGGAAUAAAGUGAAUUCAAAUAGUUACAAUGCCAUAGUACUGACUAUCAAACGCUGUCACGUUAAGAACCCCUAAUGGCUAGAAAGCAAGAGUAAAUUAUGAGCGGCAUAAAUAUGCAACUCACGAGUUGAAAUAUGGUUGUUGGUUUUGAUACUAAGCUUUGUUGUUUGGAGUCUUUAAGUGCAUUGGGGAGGUAUUAAGAUAAAGAUGAUCAGUGAAAUUGCAGAGUUUCUUUAUUGCCUUAUAUAUGGGCAUGUAAGAGAAAGAAAAGUUAGAGAGUUUUUGAGAUGGCUACAUAAAAAAAUAAAUUAACAUAUGGAGUGUUAAAAGGAAUAAUAUGUUGACUAAAGUCAAAUCUUAAGAAAUAAAGUGAAUCUUGUAAAAGGUUAAAGAGGAAGUGAGGGAAAGGUUAGAUGAAUGUAUGAGAUAUUGAUGAGAGAUGACAAUACCAAGUGAUAAAAGUGUGAAUAAAGAUUUUAAGAAUGAUAUAGCAAAUGAACUUAUAUAGAAUAUUGUUACGAGAAUUUACUAAUCUUGUUUUGACGACCUUGUUGAAAAGAAAGGAUUAGUAACAAUACAAGUAAAUUACGGGGUAUGAUAGAAACUUUUGGAGAUAAGUUGAACCAUGCGUAGUUGAGCAUGCAUGUAAAUAUUUUGGUGAGCAAGUGCAUGCCUUUAUGGAAAUGAUAUACUUGGAGUAUGAAAAAGCAAAUAAGUGAUUAAGUGUUUCAAGAAUAUUUAAAUACCUUUGACGAAGAAUUAUAAAUUAUACAAGAUGAGUAUAAGAUGUGUGAUUUUGAAACUUGCUGAGGAGUCAAAUGGCUAAGUCACGAGUUAAGUAAUCAUCUGUUGUGAGACAUAAGUUUAAGAUAGAUAUUCCCAAGGAAAUACUCAAGAGAAGUUUUGCUCUGGAUCUCGUUAAAGCAAGCACUAAGUUAUGUGAUUAUAAAAAGGAAGCUGUAAGCUGAGAGUGAUAUUAGUAUUAAUAUUGAAAAAUACUUGAGGAGAAUCUAGUUUUAAGUUUUACAAUUUCAAGUACAAUUUAUAAAUUGGUUAAGGAAGAAUGAUGUUAUGUUCAUAUGAAGGAGUGGAACAAAGGAUGAUAGAAGUUGACCUUGAAAAUGAAGUCAGAUAAUGAAACUUUCCUAAUAUAUUAUGGAAAUUGGAAUUCGAAAAUGCUUAAGGCAUACAUGAUUCAAAUGGGUUCGAGUCUUAAGUGACAAAUCAAUAUCGUAAUGCAAGAAAGAUACAAGGUAAUAUAGAGGCAUGAAAGAUGAUUAAGGACAAAAGGAUGACUCUUAGGAAUUGUGGUAUUGCAUGAGAUGCAAUGAUCAAGUUGAGAUAAAUCUUUGAGGCAUCAAUAGGAUUAUAAAGCAUACACGCAUAAUAGAUUAUAAUUCAAUGGAGAUGACAUUGUGAUGAAUGAUAUAUAGUAUAAGGAAACUCAAACAUAUGGUUGGAAAUGAUAUGAAUGAUAUGAAGUUAUACACAAGUAUAAUAAGAAGGUUGACAUGCACUAUAAGAAUUAUUAUAUUGAAACUAGGAUUGGGAUACGGAUGAAUAAAGGGGGAAUGUAGUCCAAGGCAUGUGAACACAUGGAUUCCUAUAUAUAAAGAGAGAUGUUGACAUUUGAAAAUGCAUGUAUAUAUGUAUAUAUGAAAUUGAUAAUUUUACUAACUAAAGUGAAGAAUGGUUCUCAGUAAUUGGGAGAUUUUGAAAUAGUGUCCAGAGAGGUCAGUGAGCUAAAGUGUUAACGGACAUGCAAUGAACGAUUAAAGUUAUGAGUGACUUUGAAGGUAAACCUUGGAUUGUUUAAGUUCUUAAUGGAACUCUAUUAAAGGAAGUGUAUAGACCAGUAUAAGAUGGAUGAAUCAAGGUUGAGAAAUUUGGUACGGAGCGAAUUAAUAAAAUGAUGAUUAGGUAUACAUAAGUAAGUAUGAUAUGUGAUCGAAAUCAGUAUAAUUGAGGUGAAGUUAUGGUUCAAAUUUAAUAAUGGUGAUAAAGGCAUGCUUAGUGUCUCGAUAUAAGAGAUCAUGGUUGUGAAAAGUAUUACUGAUCCAGUUCCAAAGGAUGAUAAUUGCCAUAAAUAAAGCAUUUAAUUGAACUGAAGGUGAACGAGGUAAAUAAAUUGAAUGUCCCUAUAGAAGGAACAAGGAGUAGGAUCAUAGAAGGAGAUUGAUAACGCAACAUCGACGGGAAUUCGAGGACGAAUUCUAUUUAAGUGGGGGAGAUUGAAAUACCCCAUACUUUGAUAUGGUGAUAAAUAAAGUUGGUCAGAUGCGAAUUGAGGCAUAAUAAGGAACUUUGGGAACCAAAGAGACAAGAUAAAAUUUUUAGAAUAAAAUAAUAUUUUAUUAAUGAAAUAAUAUUAAAAUAUUAAUAUUUAGCUAGAUGUCGAAAUCAAUCAUGAAGAAGGAUCAUAUGGUUGAUCCAAGUGGGGGAGAAGAUGUCAAGCCUGACUCUGUAAAAUAUUUGUCAUGACAUACAUGUGAUGGAUAGCAUGUUUGCAUGCUAGGAGAGUCUUGAAAAAUUUACAAAAGUCGGUAUUGUACCUAGAGGUACAAUAAAGUUAAUUUAAGCCUCAAACUAGAUAAAAUAGAGAAUUUAAGGUGAAAUUAAGAAUUUUAAAGUUCCAAAAUGGUUUAAUAUGGUGAUUUGGAGUUCGAGGAUCAAUUUGGAGUUAAACCGAAAAUUUCACUAUCUAGGGGUAAAAUGGUAAUUUUGCCACUUGAUGACAAAAUGGAAAUUUUUUUUAAAGAUUUUGAUUAUAUUUGACUUAUUGGAGUAUGAUUUUGAGGUUGAGAAGUGAAAAAUGGUGAUCCCGAUAUUUUUUAGAGUAUAGGGAUAAAAUGGUAAUUUUGUCACCCCAAGGGCAAAAUUAUAAUUUUUCACCACCAGAACACUUGUCCAGCACAUGGAUUUUACCCAAUUUUAUCAUGGAUAAUUGAAGGAAUUUAUAUGGUGGAGAGAGAAAGCUUAAUAGUUAAGAAAUAAAAAUGGACCAAUGAAAUGGUGACACAUGGCAUAUUUAUAACCAUUAAAUAUUUAGCUUUAAAGUUUACACAAAAUCAGCCCAUUUCUCAUUCAUAUGGCCUGCUAAAGAAGAACAAAGGAGGAAAGAAAAAAAAACAAGAACCCUAGGUGGGAAAAUUGAAGAAAAAAUGUGGGAUUUCAUGGGAUUAAGCUAAUGAAGGUAAAAUUUCUUGAUUUUGACUUGUGAUUUACACUACCCAUGCUUUCUUUUUUCAUUUUCCAUGGUUAGAUUUCAUGUUUUCAUGGUGAAUUCAUGGCUGCUUGGAAUGCGUAUGGAGAGAGAAUGAUGUUGGAUUGAUUUGAUUCUAAGUUAUGUUAGUAUUUUUAGUUAGUUUAUCAUGUCUAUAAACAAAACAACAAGAAAAGAAUUCAUUUUCCCCAUCACCCAUCAAUGGACGAAUUUUCUAGGGAGGAUAUUGUGGCUGAAAUUGAUGAUAUUUUAUGAUAUUUUGGUGAUAUGUGAUGUUUGGUGAGGCUAAAAAUUAAAUAGGAAAUUUUGGUGUGAAAAUCUGAAUUUUUGCUUAACAUAUAGACAUGUGUGAUUAUUGACCCGGGACUGAUAAGUUGAAUCUCAUUCAUAGUCACUGAGGUAAUUUAGGUAUAAUUGGAGUGUAGAAAGUGAGAAGAAUUGAAUUGGAGUUAAAUUGGAGAUUUUAGCCGAUUAGGCCGAGUAUAUUGUGACUUAGGUCGAAUAUCACAUUUAAGUGAUUAAUCAGACAUUUUGCAUCCCAUCGCAUGCAUUCAUUUAGAUUUAGAGAGCCUGUAAUAGUUUAUGAUAAAUUGACACAAUUUAUUGAAAUUCGUGUCACGUAUGAUGUAUAAGUGGUGAGCCCUCUAACAAAGGUAAAGAGAUUGUACCCGAAGAUCGGGAAUAAGAGUAUAUCGAACUCCUAGUACUGUGAGUACCCUUAUUAUCAUUUUAAUUAUCUAAGAUAUGUUUUAAUUUGGUUUUGGUGAAAUUUUAUGAAAAUGAGUUAAAUGGCAAAUUUUAGGUUUUAUAAACAAAAAUAAGUUUAAAUAAAAAGAUUUUAUAAAUUGUUUUGGAAAUUGAAUGAUGAUUUUGAAAAUAGAGUAAUUGGAAACCACUGAUAUGUUGUAAAUUUAAGAUUGAAUUGAUGGCUUAUGUUAUUCUGUUAGCAUGACUGAUUGGGCUGUGUUUUAUGAAUUGUAUGAAUUGUUUUAUUUUACCCUUGCAGGCUUGGUAGUAAUAUAUUAGCCCUGUCAUGCUAUCAAAAUUUUAUUGUAUAGUGGGUUUAGCUUACUGCAGUAGGCGGGUUUCAGUGGACUAGCCUAUUAGAGGGGCACGGUAAACCCUGUUAUAUUUUACCUCGGUUGGAGAGGCGAGUAGGGUAACUCCCGAGGUAUGAUUUUAGAGUUCACUUCAUGCCAAACCACCACGUGAAGGUGAGCUCGGCCAACGCCAAGGAACGACUAUAUUUUCAAAAUGAAAACAUGUUUUAUGCGUACAUUACUUUCUAAUAUCCUUGGCGGACUCAGUUGGGAUAGCCCUUGGCCAAGGUAUCCCAGAUAACUGAGUGUGAUAACAAUUUUUGGCAUGAGCCAAGCUUUUAAAGAAAUUCAUAAGCCAUAUUGAUUACUUGAUUUAAAUAAUUUGAUUUCAUUUUGUUGAAAUAAGUUGAAAAAUGAUAAAUUACAAUUUGAUGAAAUGUUUUAAUAGUCUCCUUUUACUCGUCUUUAGAUAUUUUAAAUGAUAUUUGUUUACUCACUAGGAUUUUAUAAUCUCAACCACCUUCCUUUCCACCCAUUUCAGGCAUCAGGAUAGUCGGUAAAUAGCUCAUUUCAUCGAGGACUACAAUUGGAUUGGCAUCCUCAAAAUAUGUAGGUUCAAUUCUUUUGAUACUUUUAGUCAUUCGUGGGCUCGCGUGUCACUGUAAAUUUAAUUUUAUACUUUGGUUAUCUAUAUUACAAUAUAUAUAAAUUUAUUUUGCUUUUUCGUUGUAAAAAUUAUUUACCCAG